This 448-nucleotide ribosomal RNA is filed under the name uncultured bacterium. Its description in RNAcentral is "bacterial SSU rRNA". It matches the Rfam family "Bacterial small subunit ribosomal RNA", at positions 329 to 794 of the family's 1533-position model. The record is from RNAcentral.
GCCCAGACUCCUACGGGAGGCAGCAGUGGGGAAUAUUGCACAAUGGGGGAAACCCUGAUGCAGCGACGCCGCGUGAGCGAUGAAGUAUUUCGGUAUGUAAAGCUCUAUCAGCAGGGAAGAAGAUGACGGUACCUGACUAAGAAGCCCCGGCUAACUACGUGCCAGCAGCCGCGGUAAUACGUAGGGGGCAAGCGUUAUCCGGAUUUACUGGGUGUAAAGGGAGCGUAGACGGCGAUGCAAGCCAGAUGUGAAAGCCCGGGGCUCAACCCCGGGACUGCAUUUGGAACUGUGUGGCUGGAGUGUCGGAGAGGCAGGCGGAAUUCCUAGUGUAGCGGUGAAAUGCGUAGAUAUUAGGAGGAACACCAGUGGCGAAGGCGGCCUGCUGGACGAUGACUGACGUUGAGGCUCGAAAGCGUGGGGAGCAAACAGGAUUAGAUACCCUUGUAUC